CAACCUGCCCACCACUUGGGGAUAACCUUGCGAAAGUAAGACUAAUACCCAAUGACGUCUCUAGAAGACAUCUGAAAGAGAUUAAAGAUUUAUCGGUGAUGGAUGGGGAUGCGUCUGAUUAGCUUGUUGGCGGGGUAACGGCCCACCAAGGCGACGAUCAGUAGGGGUUCUGAGAGGAGGGUCCCCCACAUUGGAACUGAGACACGGUCCAAACUCCUACGGGAGGCAGCAGUGAGGAAUAUUGGUCAAUGGGCGAGAGCCUGAACCAGCCAAGUAGCGUGCAGGAUGACGGCCCUAUGGGUUGUAAACUGCUUUUAUAAGGGAAUAAAGUGAGUCUCGUGAGACUUUUUGCAUGUACCUUAUGAAUAAGGACCGGCUAAUUCCGUGCCAGCAGCCGCGGUAAUACGGAAGGUCCGGGCGUUAUCCGGAUUUAUUGGGUUUAAAGGGGGCGUAGGCCGGAGAUUAAGCGUGUUGUGAAAUGUAGACGCUCAACGUCUGCACUGCAGCGCGAACUGGUUUCCUUGAGUACGCACAAAGUGGGCGGAAUUCGUGGUGUAGCGGUGAAAUGCUUANAUAUCACGAANANNUCCNNUNG
RNAcentral lists this ribosomal RNA (595 nucleotides) under uncultured Bacteroidota bacterium. RNAcentral's name for it is "bacterial SSU rRNA". It matches the Rfam family "Bacterial small subunit ribosomal RNA", at positions 122 to 715 of the family's 1533-position model. The record is from RNAcentral. Lineage: Bacteria; Pseudomonadati; Bacteroidota.